RNAcentral lists this long non-coding RNA (6086 nucleotides) under Lactuca sativa (garden lettuce). RNAcentral describes it as "long non-coding RNA (LSAT_LNC004998)". Lineage: Eukaryota; Viridiplantae; Streptophyta; Magnoliopsida; Asterales; Asteraceae. The record is from RNAcentral.
AAAAUUUUCUUUAAACAUUACUAGAACCAUAUUUAUAAAAGCCAUGUCAUAAUUCAUAACAUACAUUCAGAGUAUUAAUUCAAAACAUAUUCUCAUUAUCAGAGUAAAACAUCCCAGGCUGUCUAAUUAAUGGUGUGUGCCAUGCGAUCACCCCGAGCUCUUCCCUCCGCUAUCGGAAGUACCUGAAACCAAAACUGAAAACUGUAAGCAUGAAGCUUAGUGAGUUCCCCCAACCUACCACAUACCAUGCAUAAACACAUACAGCACAUACUGGGCCACGCCCGCUAUUUCGGGCCUCGCCCGCUACAACGGCCCUGCUGCUCCAGGCCCCGCCUGGCUUCGAGCCCCGCUCGGAUACAGAUCUGUUUCACUUAGGCCUCGCCUGUCACUGGGCCUCGCCCGCUAACAUAUAAUAGCACAUAAACAUAUCACAACACAUAAGCUAAACAUAUACUAAUGGAUCCUGUCCUAAGGCCUCGCCUAUCUUGGGCCUCGCCCUUGUCCUGCUACUGAUGAGUCAUGGAACCCCGUCCACGCUCCUACUGAUAGUGAGAUACGGGCCCAACCCACACUCACUUUUUCCCUAACUUGGGCCUCGCCCCUGUUCUGCUGCUAAUGAGAUGUGGAACACCGUCCACACUUUGCUAUUGGUGAGAUACGGGACCUCGCCCACACUCACCUCCCUACCAGGCACAUACAAGUAUCACGCAGACAACAAGUAUACUCUAUCAUGCAAAACAUUCCUUGGGCUCCCGCCCGCUAUCAAUGGACCUUGGUCCUAAAUAUCAUACUGGCAUACAGUGCCUAGGGCUAACCCUUGGGUCUUCCUACUCAUAUCUACAUGGGCUGGCAUUAUGGCCUUAAACCCAUUCACACAAAGGGAAACUCACCUGCACUGCGAAACUCUUGCUGAUAACCCUCUGACUGUUGUUCGACAAUGCUUUGAACCGCUACUCCACUAGCUCCCUGAGCUACCAAUAUCAAUAUACAUAACACUUAGAUCGAAAUAGAACACUAGAAGCCGACUAAGUCCACUCUUGACAAAGUCAAAGUCCUGGUCAAAGUCAACCUUCCUGACUGACUCUACUCGUCGAGUCACCCCAAGACUCGUCGAGUCUAUGAAAUCAGAAACUCCCAUCAUACGAAUCAACUUGCCGAGUCACCCCAAGACUCGUCGAGUUCAAUGAUCUCUGAGUCCCAUCCUGCCCAACUCAUUGUGUAUCCACUCAACUCACUGAUCUAAGCCUUAACCAGAAGGGGUUAGUGCUUCGCGACCUGACUCGCCGAGUCCAAGAACAGACUCGUCGAGUUGUUCUUCCAACUCGUCGAGUCCAUGCCCAUCUUCAUCCAACUCGCCGAGUUCACCCAUGUGACUCGCCGAGUCACUUCAGUUCUUAAUCCAUACAGUGGCUUUUUGAGUCAUGCAGGGGCUCCAUCUAAUAGAUCCACUCUUCCCAAGUCUAUUCCUCACGUAAAGUUGCAAACUUUACGCGAAACCAAAGAGAUAUGGGCUUAAAACACUCGAGAGCUAGGGUUUGAGACCAUGGGGCUUCACCAACAACUUAUUGGCAUAAACUUUAUGGCUUUCUGGAUCCUUAAUAGCCUAGAUCUGAGGUAGCAACCUCAGAUCUACUCCAAACUCGAAAUAUAUCUCCUCUAUACUCAAAAUGCCCAAAUCUCAACCAUAAGAUAGAUCUAAAUGCAAUAGGGUCAGCUUAUUACCUCAAAGGAUCUGAAAAGUCACACCAACUAGGUAUCCAAGGCUUCCUCUUGCACCACUAUGAACCUCCUUCUCUUCCAAGCUUCAAAUCACUUCACCAAGGGUAGAUCUUGCUCAAAAUGGAUAUGGUGGCUAGGGUUCGGUAUUCUGGGUGAGAGAGACUGUAAAGGAACCCUAGGGAAGAGAAUGAGACGUUUAAAUAGGGCACCAAGUCCCGAAUUUAGAGUUUCCCAAUCCAGACCGGACUCGCCGAGUCCACUCUCCGACUCGUCGAGUAGGUCACUUACUCUCCGACCCGGAUCCCGCUUCGACUCGUCGAGUCCACCUAUGGACUCGAUGAGUUGACCCCUUGACUUAGGGUUUUCCUUUCCUUUCUUGAUCUUUCUGAUUCUGGGUGUUACAGUUAGACUCAAACGAGAGCUGCGCAAUAGGGCCAAAUCCAGCACUCUGAGAUUAUUCAACCCUGAUCACAUGUGACGUGACGUAGUCACCUAAUGGCUAACUCCCAUCACUCAGAAUCCCACAAUGCACAAAGCAAGCAACAUUCAGACAAAGGAAAAUCUAACCAUAACAUACUCAAGCAAUCAUAAUCUCAUAUCAAGAAUCUGUACUAGCAUGCAGCAUAAUCUCAUAUACUACGGCAUAACCUAAACUGGCUACUCUACUAUUGUCUAACCAGUACCAUCAUGCAACUCAAAAACAUAUAUAACAGGCACAUAAGGCAUCCUCCCUAGAACCUUAGUCCUAAUCUAGCAUGCUGUUCUACUAACUGAUAAUCAUAACAUAAACUUGUAUGGGUAUUUUGGGGUACUUACUUGAGCUUGGCUGAUUGCAUGCACCACACCCUUUUCUCUUAUCAAAGUUCUUUUCCUUUUCUAAAACUGUUUCAUUUCUCAAAACUCUUUUACAAAAUUGGCUUUUCAUUUUGAAAAUUUCUAUACCAAUUCCUUAGUUUGAGUUCAGACACACCCGAGAGUAUGUUUGAAUCCCUCAAACCAAGGCUCUGAUACAAACUUGUAACGUCCCAAAAAUCACGACUGAAAAUUUUCUUUAAACAUUACUAAAACCAUAUUUAUAAAAGCCAUGUCAUAAUUCAUAACAUACAUUCAGAGUAUUAAUUCAAAACAUAUUCUCAUUAUCAGAGUAAAACAUCCCAGGCUGUCUAAUUAAUGGUGUGUGCCAUGCGAUCACCCCGAGCUCUUCCCUCCGCUACCGGAAGUACCUGAAACCAAAACUGAAAACCGUAAACACGAAGCUUAGUGAGUUCCCCAACCUACCACAUACCCUGCACAAACACAUAGCACAUAUUGGGCCACACCCGCUAUUUCGGGCCUCGCCCUCUACCUCGGGCCUUGCCCGCUAAAACGGCCCCGCCGCUCCAGGCCCUGCCUGGCUUCGAGCCCCGCUCAGAUACAUAUCUGUUUCUUUUAGGCCCCGCCUAUCUCUGGGCCCCGCCCGCUAACCACAUAAUACAAAAUAGCAUAUAACACAUAAUUGAACAUACCCUACUGUAUUCCUGUCCUAAGGCCUCGCCCCUAUCCUGUUACUAGUGAGUCAUGGAACCCUGUCCAAGCUCCUACUAUAAGUGAGAUACGGCCCCCCGCCCACACUCACUCCAUACCUAACCCGGGCCUCGCCCCUGCUCUGCUACUAAUGAGAUAUGGAACACCAUUCAUACUCUGCUAUUGGUGAGAUACGAGACCUCGCCCACACUCACCUCCCUACCAGGCACAUACAUGCAUCACACAGACAACAAGUAUACUCUAUCAUGCAAACCACUGCUUGGGACCCGCCCGACAUUGGACCUUGGUCCUGAAUAUCAUAAUAACAAACAGUGCCCAGGGCUAACCCCCGUGUCUUCCUACUCAUAACUACAUGGGCCGACAUUUUGACCGUAGACCCAUCCACACAAAAGGAAACUCACCUUGCACUGUUGUUGUCCUGCUAAAAUCCCUCGGAUUCUAUCUGACAAAUCCUCGUCCUGCUGAUCCUUCGGCUCUCUGAGCUAGCCAUACCACAAUACACUUAGUAAAAUCCAAUAAUCCAUCAUAGGGUAGAAUGACCAUUCUACCCAUGGGCCAACCUGGUCCAUAACUAAGUCCCAACACUAAAAAAACUCCCCAAGUCCAUUAGUGGCCCACUAAUGGCCCAAUUUGCUACAUCGGGCCUAAUCCCUUUACUGGGCCUUAUCCUAAGCCCAAACAUAUCCUUGGCCCAAAAUAACCUGACUUCUGCUGACCCACUAAGGCCCAAAGGCCCAAAGUCCCAAGANAACAGACUCGCCGAGUUGUACUUCCAACUCAUCGAGUUCCUGCCUAUCUUCUUACAACUCGCCGAGUCCACCCAUGUGACUCGCCGAGUAGCUUCAGGUCUUAAUCCAUACAGUGGCUUUUCGAGCCAUGCAAGGGCUCUAAACUGUAGAUCCACUCUUCUAAGGCACAUCCUUCACGUAAAGUUGCAAACUUUACGUGAAACCAAGGAGCUAUAGGCUUAAAACACUCUAGGGCUAGGGUUUGAGGCAAGCAUGCUUCACCAACACACCAAAGACUGAUACUUUAUGGGUUUCUGGGCCAAGACAACCCUAGAUCCGAAGUUCUCUUUGCUCACAAAGGCACAAUACACAAAUUGGCCUUGGAAAUGGCCCAAAAUGAUAAAAUCUAACUAGGAAAGGGAAUCUAAAUGAAUAACUGCCAAGGUAUGAGCUCCAUACCUUCCAAUGAUCUGAAAUAGCACACCAACUCAGAACCCACUGCCACUUCUUGAAUCACCCAAGGUUCCUUUCUUCUUUUUUGCUUCUAAGCACCCAAAUGGCAAGGAAAGCUUGAGAGUAAUACAAUGGAGGCUUAGGGUUUCGAGGGAAUGUAAAGGGAGCGAUGGAGGCUGGGGUGAAGGCCUGAAAUGAUGCUUAAAUAGGGCACCAAGCUCGGAAAUUAGGGUUUUCCAACCCAGACUUGACUCGCCGAGUCAGUCCCUCCGACUCGCCAAGUCGGUCACUUAAAUCCCGACAAGGAACCCGCUCCAACUCGUCGAGUUCACCUAUGGACUCGACGAGUUGACCCCUUUGACUUAGGGUUUUCCUUUCCUUUCUUGGUCUUUUUGAUUCCGAGUGUUACAUAGUGUCUAUAAGUGAUGGUAGGGAUAGUGGUGACAUGUAGGUGAUGGUGGUGGUGGGUGAGUGGUGAUGGAAGAAGGGUAUUUUUAAUCGUGGUGGUAGGGAUAAUGGUGGUAUGUGGGUGGUGGAAGAAGGGUAUUUUCAUCCUUGUUAAAUAUUUAACAGCCCUCUGUUAAGGUUGUUAGAUGGGAGGACCACUGUUAAGGCUGUUAGAUGGGAGGACUACUAAUGAUACGGAAAGAUCUCUAUAGGGACCAAUGGUUUUAUUAUUCUGAUACUAGGACCUAAACUGUUAUUCUGAGCAAACCACAUGGACCAAGAGUGUAAUUUACUCUAUAUCAAUCAACGGUUCUCAACGCAGUCAAAAUUUUGACUUUUUGCUACGUGACAGCUUAAUUCGUACGGCACCAUACUUCAUAACGUGCAUACCACUACACUCGAUUCUUCCUUUCUCACUCCCCUGUUCCUCCUUCAUCUUCACCAUAUUCAAUCGCAUCAAAACAACCAGCAAACCUCUUACGAUUCACGCAUUCGCCAUGGAUUUCUGGCAAAAGGCUCGCACCUUCGCUGAAGACGCUGCCAAGAGAUCACAGGAGUUAACCAAAGAAGCCGCGAAACGAUCACAAGAGUUAACAAAAGAAGCCGCGAAGCGAUCACAGGAAUUCACCAUUGGAUCAUCGAAGCUCUCUGACAUCGUCCUGGAGGCGUCGAAACGGUCUAAGGAGAUCGCUGCUGAGGCAUCGAAGAAGGUUGAUUUCGUUAAGGUCGAAGCGUUGAAACGUGCAGAUCAGAUCAAGUCUCAGAUUCCUUCCACUUCUGCCGCGAUCUCGCAACUCGUUGUCGAUUCUUCUGCGACAGCGCAGCCUGGGGGCACUUCCCCUGCGGAUCUCGAGAAGUUUGGAAUUACGGAAGAGCUGCGAGAGUUUGUGAAGGAAAUCACUAUAAAUACGUUUCGAGACUUCCCGCUAGAAGGUAAGUAAAGCAGUUAAUAAGGUACGCCUGCAUCAGUUAUUAGUUAAAAGCAUGCGUAUUGUAUGAAAUACAUAUAAGAAUGAAGUUAGUUAUAGGUUUUGGAGAAUGCUUAGUACAUGAUUUGAGAACCUUCAUGACUUCCGAUUCUAUCACGGUGUGCAUUGUUUCCCCUCUAGGGUUUUUGAGCCUUUUUAGUGCCUCGUAGGGAUGCAUCACGAUUAAUAGUAUAUACACUGUAUGGCGAGUUGUAAUGGUGUUGUCAAAAUUAGUAAUGUCUUUCAG